Molecule: ribosomal RNA, 405 nt
Filed under: uncultured bacterium
Lineage: Bacteria
Description: bacterial SSU rRNA
Rfam family: Bacterial small subunit ribosomal RNA
Source: RNAcentral
UGGGGAAUAUUGCACAAUGGGGGGAACCCUGAUGCAGCGACGCCGCGUGAAGGAAGAAGUAUCUCGGUAUGUAAACUUCUAUCAGCAGGGAAGAAAAUGACGGUACCUGACUAAGAAGCCCCGGCUAACUACGUGCCAGCAGCCGCGGUAAUACGUAGGGGGCAAGCGUUAUCCGGAUUUACUGGGUGUAAAGGGAGCGUAGACGGCGUAUCAAGUCUGAUGUGAAAGGCAGGGGCUCAACCCCUGGACUGCAUUGGAAACUGGUAUGCUGGAGUGCCGGAGAGGUAAGCGGAAUUCCUAGUGUAGCGGUGAAAUGCGUAGAUAUUAGGAGGAACACCAGUGGCGAAGGCGGCUUACUGGACGGUAACUGACGUUGAGGCUCGAAAGCGUGGGGAGCAAACAGGA